GACGAACGCUGGCGGCGUGCUUAACACAUGCAAGUCGAACGGAAAGGCACUGCUUUUGUGGGGUGCUCGAGUGGCGAACGGGUGAGUAACACGUGAGUAACCUGCCCUUGACUUUGGGAUAACUUCAGGUAACUGGGGCUAAUACCGGAUAGGAUCUCCUGUACCAUGGAGGGGGGGGGAAAGUUUCUGCGGUUGGGGAUGGACUCGCGGCUGAUCAGCUUGCUGGUGGGGUAGUGGCUUACCAAGUCUUUGACGGGUAGGCGGCCGGAGAGGGUGACCGGCCACAUUGGGCCUGAGGUACGGCCCAGACUCCUACGGUAGGCAGCGGUGGGGAAUAUUGCACAGUGGGCGGACGCCUGAUGCGGCAGCGCCGCGUGCGUGAUGACGGCCUUCGGGUUGUGAACCGCUUUCGCCUGUGACGAAGCGUGAGUGACGGUAAUGGGUAAAGAAGCACCGGCUAACUACGUG
Molecule: ribosomal RNA, 468 nt
Filed under: uncultured bacterium
Lineage: Bacteria
Description: partial 16S ribosomal RNA
Rfam family: Bacterial small subunit ribosomal RNA
Source: RNAcentral